RNAcentral lists this ribosomal RNA (664 nucleotides) under Escherichia coli. Its description in RNAcentral is "partial 23S ribosomal RNA". It matches the Rfam family "Bacterial large subunit ribosomal RNA", at positions 2279 to 2925 of the family's 2925-position model. Lineage: Bacteria; Pseudomonadati; Pseudomonadota; Gammaproteobacteria; Enterobacterales; Enterobacteriaceae. The record is from RNAcentral.
GCGGUCUCCUCCUAAAGAGUAACGGAGGAGCACGAAGGUUGGCUAAUCCUGGUCGGACAUCAGGAGGUUAGUGCAAUGGCAUAAGCCAGCUUGACUGCGAGCGUGACGGCGCGAGCAGGUGCGAAAGCAGGUCAUAGUGAUCCGGUGGUUCUGAAUGGAAGGGCCAUCGCUCAACGGAUAAAAGGUACUCCGGGGAUAACAGGCUGAUACCGCCCAAGAGUUCAUAUCGACGGCGGUGUUUGGCACCUCGAUGUCGGCUCAUCACAUCCUGGGGCUGAAGUAGGUCCCAAGGGUAUGGCUGUUCGCCAUUUAAAGUGGUACGCGAGCUGGGUUUAGAACGUCGUGAGACAGUUCGGUCCCUAUCUGCCGUGGGCGCUGGAGAACUGAGGGGGGCUGCUCCUAGUACGAGAGGACCGGAGUGGACGCAUCACUGGUGUUCGGGUUGUCAUGCCAAUGGCACUGCCCGGUAGCUAAAUGCGGAAGAGAUAAGUGCUGAAAGCAUCUAAGCACGAAACUUGCCCCGAGAUGAGUUCUCCCUGACUCCUUGAGAGUCCUGAAGGAACGUUGAAGACGACGACGUUGAUAGGCCGGGUGUGUAAGCGCAGCGAUGCGUUGAGCUAACCGGUACUAAUGAACCGUGAGGCUUAACCUUACAACGCCGAAG